This 497-nucleotide ribosomal RNA is filed under the name uncultured bacterium. RNAcentral describes it as "partial 16S ribosomal RNA". It matches the Rfam family "Bacterial small subunit ribosomal RNA", at positions 28 to 507 of the family's 1533-position model. The record is from RNAcentral.
GAUGAACGCUGGCGGCGUGCCUAAUACAUGCAAGUCGAGCGAACAGACGAGGAGCUUGCUCCUCUGACGUUAGCGGCGCACGGGUGAGUAACACGUGGAUAACCUACCUAUCAGACUGGGAUAACUUCGGGAAACCGGCGCUAAUACCGGAUAAUAUAUUGAACCGCAUGGUUCAAUAGUGAAAGACGGUUUUGCUGUCACUUAUAGAUGGAUCCGCGCCGCAUUAGCUAGUUGGUAAGGUAACGGCUUACCAAGGCAACGAUGCGUAGCCGACCUCAGAGGGUGAUCGGCCACACUGGAACUGAGACACGGUCCAGACUCCUACGGGAGGCAGCAGUAGGGAAUCUUCCGCAAUGGGCGAAAGCCUGACGGAGCAACGCCGCGUGAGUGAUGAAGGUCUUCGGAUCGUAAAACUCUGUUAUUAGGGAAGAACAAAUGUGUAAGUAACUAUGCACGUCUUGACGGUACCUAAUCAGAAAGCCACGGCUAACUACGUG